RNAcentral lists this small nuclear RNA (100 nucleotides) under Aotus nancymaae (Ma's night monkey). The record is from RNAcentral. Lineage: Eukaryota; Metazoa; Chordata; Mammalia; Primates; Aotidae.
GUGCACUUCAGCAGCACGUGAACUACAACUGGGGCGACAGAGACUAGCACGGCCCCUGCACAAGGGUGGCACGCAAGUUCAUGACGCCUUCCACAUGUUU